UGUGGUUCCAAGUGCCUGGGACCACGGGCACCCACACUCAUUUCCUGCUUGCCUGUCCCCACAUGCAACGGCUCCUGAAAAAGAGGAACCAAUUGCUGCUCAGAAUCCUUUUCACAGCUGACAACAGUUGGAUCCCCAUCCUCGGCAGCAAAGGUGUGACUGUUCUCCUGCCAUUCAAAAAAAAGAAGCCAGCAGGCCGAGGGGGAAGUGAGCUGCGGACAACCCAAGCCAUCAGAAAAAGAGAUGGUGCGCCUUUAAGAUGAAGGUGGUGGGCAACCAUCCAUCUUCCCUAAACACAGACUUGCCUUGUUCUUCCAUUUCUGGCUGAGUGAUAAAAACGUUAAAUGUCAUUUCCCGUAUCAGUGGUUAACCACUAGAUGCUGGAUCAGAGAUUUACCAGAAGUGCUGAAGUUAAGGAAAAAAAAAAAAAACCCUGCUGUUUUCAAUAACCCUUUCUUGCACCCUGUGGGAACUAUUUAACCUUUGUGGGGGGAGAGAGUGGGGUGCCAGGGGGCUGCUGGAUUUCGGCUGAACAAUACGUUUAGGAUUCGGUUUGCCGAGGACUCUCUUAAGCUUCGUACAGGAAGCCAAGAGAGACAGCAUGUCACGAUCCUGCCUCCCUCCCCAGGGAGUGCGUGUGUAAGUGCGGGCAAGGCAGGAGAAGGCAGACGUAAAAAUCUGCCACAUGCCUACUGUGCCCACCAUUGUCUCCAGAUAUCGACGGUCAUUUGGCCUUAUUGACCCCACAUUUCACAGAAGACCGUGGCUCUGGCUCUUCUGUUCCCCCAGCUUCCUGCAGCAUGCUCAGGAAAGUGAAGUGGUGGAGGCUUGGCUCAGCCCACCGCGUAAGGGACUGGAUCAACUUGCAGCCCUCCCACAGCUUUGCUCGAAGCCCCUCUAGUCUGCCCUGCAUUGUUUUGCCCUGGGCUGACCUCGAUGGGGACGAUGGGGACGACAACACACAAAGCCACCCUGGCUCCUCCCUGCUGCCUCCCCGGCUCCGUGGACCUCUCACAGGGCAGAUAAGACUGAAGAGCGACGCUGUGUUCCAGCAAUUGCAUUUCCUACCCCAGGCCGCCUAGGAUGUCCUGUGCACACACCAAGCACUCCUUGCACUUCAAGUACGUCUAAGAUGACCUACCGUCCUGGUUCGCCUGGGACUAAAGGGACUCAUAGUGGGUGGGACCUCUGUUAUUGUAACUGGGAAAGUCCCUGUCACACCGGAAUAAAAGGGUAACCCCAAUAGAAGUGUGUGACA
This 1258-nucleotide long non-coding RNA is filed under the name Ursus maritimus (polar bear). Its description in RNAcentral is "lncRNA (ENSUMAG00000002325.1)". The record is from RNAcentral. Lineage: Eukaryota; Metazoa; Chordata; Mammalia; Carnivora; Ursidae.